GAGCCUUGGGCCAGUGAUGAAGCUCAUCAGCAAGGCCCUGAGGCUCUGCUUCCCUGGAGGCAGGGGCUGAGGCCCCAGGACAAGUUCUGUGAGGGCAGAAGGCAUCCACGCCAGGCACAUCUGCCCUGGAGGCUGAGAAGUCUGAGAUGAAUGAGCCCCUUAGCUAUUCCAGAUGAUUUCCCUGCGGCCCAGCUAGCAUGUAAAUCCAGCACCCAGUUGGCAGGCAGGAUAAUUCCUCAAACAGAGAGGCCACCUGCCAGAAUGGGGCUGAGUGUUCCGAGUAGCUAACCAAGGAGAAUAGAAAAUCUGCCAAUGAGGCCGUUUCUAAACACACAACUGUCUCGAGGAAGGGGAAAGAAGGGACUGUAGUUCAGUCAUGGAGAAGGAUGUAUAAAAAGGCGUAGACCAGCUCCACUCAUUCUCCUCAGUCUGGUUUGAGGAGGUGCAGUUGCCGCCUUUGUCCACCCCACCUGUGCACAAAGCAGACCUUGCAUCCUGCCUGGGGCCAGGGUCCAACCCAGAGUCAGCAGGGGCCCUGGGGAGUGAGCGCCAUGCCCAGGCACCCCAGCCUGUCUGCCCAGCAGGGCGGGCUCACCACAAGCUGUCAGCACCAAGGAGCGAGGCCCAAGCACUGAGGUCAGAUGCCCCGAGGAUGCAGGCAGAAAUGUCCAACCUGGGCAGACAAAGCGGAGUCUAACCUGGGUGGGAUUCAGGAGGGAGCCUGCCAGGACCUUCAGCCGUGAGUAGGAUGAGCUGGAGACUUGGAAGCUACAAGCAAAGCUGAGCAAUGGGACAGGCAGGGACCAGGUGAGGAGCAAGGCUACAGGUAACGGAGGACAGGCACAGGUGGCCGGGACUACCGCUGAAAGCUCCAGUAGGGGCUCCACACCCCAACUUGGGUGUAUCUGGACAUGCCAGACACUGGGCAGUGCCACCCAGCUCUCCCUCUGAAGCAGGACUCCUUGCCCAGGUGUGGGGCAUGUGGUCAUUAGGCAGCCUCCUCUUGCCAGCUCCUACAGGGUCUGCCUCAGCUGCACCUCUCCCAGAGGAGCCCUUGUCCUGAGACUGAAGGAGCACAAAGGCUAGCUUCGCCAUCUCAGGGCCUGCUUCUAGAAAACCCAAUCUGCAGCUCUGAAUGGCUCCGCUAGCACCCACGGUGUCCAGCUUGAAGACUCUGCCUCGUGGGGCCUCUUCAAAUGGAGGUCACUGUGUCCUCUUCCUUUUUUGGGAGAUGGAUGAGGGGCAGAGAACUUUCCUGUGCAUUGAGAAUCCUUCCCAGCCUCCAGUGAGAGGUGAGUCUGGCGCCCUUGUCCCCAGGUGGACCUGGCUGCCCACUUUGGGUCUUGCCACAUGAAGAAAGCCGUUCUGCCUGGCAGAGUUGCAGCAAGCCUGAUGUUUAACCCCGAAAGCAGAAACUUCUUUGCCCUAGCCACAUUCUUUUUGAACUCCAUAAUAGGGGAGGAAGCUAAGGAGAAUCAUGCAUCAAGAGAAAAAAUGUUCAUAUUCCCACUGGAAAGGAAGGUGGGUCAAUUUGAAAAUACGGUAUAACAGCAAGUGGUACAGAAGCCCAGCCUGGAAAACAGUGCUGUGAUGCCCAGGAAAUGAUAAAACCACCCCGGCGCUCCCUGGGGUCAGGCCAAGGUCUGCAGUCAUAACCACCUGCUCUCCUUCCAUUCCCUCCAGCCUCACGGCAUGUGGUUGGUGUCGAUGGCCCAAAUACAAAGGUUAUGUAUAUAUCAGAGCCCUCAGACUGAGAAAGAAAAAUUGUUCCAAGAAAUCAAGUAUUUUAUCUACAUGGAGAAAACCAGAGCCCUGAGAGUAGUUAACCCAGGAGCUUCCAGAGUCCCCCAGAGUGGAAGCCCAACCUCCUUGGGCUCUGAGAUCCAUUGUUAUGAGCCCAAAGGGCAGCCCAGAGGUUGAGGGGUGACAAGGAGGGAGGAGAGGGCCGGCAGACCUGAAGCUCCCCUACCUGUAAGUGUGAGUCCCCUCCAUGUCAUCAUCUUGAGGCCGUGCUUCCAAAGAUGGUGCUUAUCCUAGACAUUAAGGAAAAGGGGGCUAACAGAAUAAAAACACUUGGGUAAAAUAAUAUCCACAAGGUAGGAAAUUUGGAGAAGAUUUUUGAAAGGUUAGGGAAGAAAAACUUUUG
This 2146-nucleotide long non-coding RNA is filed under the name Homo sapiens (human). RNAcentral describes it as "long non-coding RNA NONHSAT206705.1". The record is from RNAcentral. Lineage: Eukaryota; Metazoa; Chordata; Mammalia; Primates; Hominidae.